CAAUAGCGUAUAUUAAAGUUGUUGCGGUUAAAAAGCUCGUAGUUGGAUUUCGGGCGGGUGACGGCGGUCCGCCUCUGGUGUGCACUGCCGGCAUCCGCCUUUCUGUCGGGGACGGGCUCCUGGGCUUCAUUGCUUGGGACUCGGGUUCGACGUGGUUACUUUGAGUAAAUUAGAGUGUUCAAAGCAAGCUUACGCUCUGAAUAUAAUAGCAUGGGAUAACACGACAGGACUCUGGCCUAUCGUGUUGGUCUAUAGGACCAGAGUAAUGAUUAAGAGGGACAGUCGGGGGCAUUCGUAUUCCGUUGUCAGAGGUGAAAUUCUUGGAUUUACGGAAGACGAACAUCUGCGAAAGCAUUUGCCAAGGAUGUUUUCAUUGA
RNAcentral lists this ribosomal RNA (377 nucleotides) under uncultured eukaryote. RNAcentral describes it as "partial 18S ribosomal RNA". It matches the Rfam family "Eukaryotic small subunit ribosomal RNA", at positions 592 to 976 of the family's 1831-position model. The record is from RNAcentral.